Molecule: non-coding RNA, 145 nt
Filed under: Planktothrix serta
Lineage: Bacteria; Bacillati; Cyanobacteriota; Cyanophyceae; Oscillatoriales; Microcoleaceae
Source: RNAcentral
UAAUAUCUAAAAGCAAUCGGUUCCAACGGGGAGCAGUCGUUGGAGGAAAGGGGGAAAGUUCGGUGUAAAUCCGGCGCUGUCCCGCAACUGUAAAGAGAUUUUGCUGUCUCUGAGUCAGGAUGCCCGCCGAUCAGUGUUUAUUUAU